This 606-nucleotide ribosomal RNA is filed under the name Trichoderma asperellum. RNAcentral describes it as "eukaryotic LSU rRNA". The stretch from base 218 to 371 matches the Rfam family "5.8S ribosomal RNA". The record is from RNAcentral. Lineage: Eukaryota; Fungi; Ascomycota; Sordariomycetes; Hypocreales; Hypocreaceae.
CAAAGUCUCGUUGGUGACCAGCGGAGGGACAUUACCGAGUUUACAACUCCCAAACCCAAUGUGAACGUUACCAAACUGUUGCCUCGGCGGGGUCACGCCCCGGGUGCGUCGCAGCCCCGGAACCAGGCGCCCGCCGGAGGAACCAACCAAACUCUUUCUGUAGUCCCCUCGCGGACGUAUUUCUUACAGCUCUGAGCAAAAAUUCAAAAUGAAUCAAAACUUUCAACAACGGAUCUCUUGGUUCUGGCAUCGAUGAAGAACGCAGCGAAAUGCGAUAAGUAAUGUGAAUUGCAGAAUUCAGUGAAUCAUCGAAUCUUUGAACGCACAUUGCGCCCGCCAGUAUUCUGGCGGGCAUGCCUGUCCGAGCGUCAUUUCAACCCUCGAACCCCUCCGGGGGAUCGGCGUUGGGGAUCGGGACCCCUCACACGGGUGCCGGCCCCUAAAUACAGUGGCGGUCUCGCCGCAGCCUCUCCUGCGCAGUAGUUUGCACAACUCGCACCGGGAGCGCGGCGCGUCCACGUCCGUAAAACACCCAACUUUCUGAAAUGUUGACCUCGGAUCAGGUAGGAAUACCCGCUGAACUUAAGCAUAUCAAUAAGCGGAGGA